This 253-nucleotide ribosomal RNA is filed under the name uncultured bacterium. Its description in RNAcentral is "partial 16S ribosomal RNA". It matches the Rfam family "Bacterial small subunit ribosomal RNA", at positions 524 to 776 of the family's 1533-position model. The record is from RNAcentral.
UGCGUAGGUGGCAAGCGUUGUCCGGAUUUAUUGGGUUUAAAGGGUGCGUAGGCGGUCCUAUAAGUCAGUGCUGAAAUAUCCCGGCUUAACCGGGAGGGUGGCAUUGAUACUGUAGGACUUGAGUAAAGUUGAGGUUGGCGGAAUUGACGGUGUAGCGGUGAAAUGCUUAGAUAUCGUCAAGAACACCUAUUGCGAAGGCAGCUAACUAAGCUUUAACUGACGCUGAGGCACGAAAGUGUGGGGAUCAAACAGG